This is a long non-coding RNA of Marmota monax (woodchuck), 1651 nucleotides long. RefSeq lists it as uncharacterized. The transcript has 2 exons. The record is from RefSeq and is a predicted model, not a curated record. Lineage: Eukaryota; Metazoa; Chordata; Mammalia; Rodentia; Sciuridae.
AUGCAGGGUCUUCAUCUUAUUCCCGUCUCUGGAAUUUCACAAUGUGCUUCUGAUCAGUCUUGGGUUCUUUUCAUUCCGGAAGCUGCUGUUCCUCAGGCUGGGAGGCGGAACUGUAUUACUCAUUGGGUCCUUUCCUCCCUGCUCUUUGGUUUUCUGCCUUCUCCCCGCCUCUCCCUGCACCUCCUCAAGUCGUUAUUACCUUUUAUCUUUUGUUCUAUUUUUGCAUUUUCCUCAACUUCAUCUCCUGAGAUUUUUCAUUUCUGCUCUCCUAUUUUUAACUCCCGAGAACGCCUUCUUUCUCUCCAGGUGCUCCUUUCGAUAGCCUCCUUCUCUUAAUCUCUUGCUCUCUUUUUUAAAAUUUCCCUGAAGAGCGGCUGGGGCUGGGGCUCAGCGGUAGAGCACCUGCCUGGCAUAAGUGAGGCCCUGGGUUCGAUUCUCAGCACCGCAUGUAAAUAAACAAAAUCAACAACUAAAUUUUUUUUUAAUAUAAAAUCCCUGAAGAUAAGGAUUAAAGUUCAUUUGAAGUUGUGUGUGCGCUCGCACGCUCACAAGAGCAUCCCGUAGGACCUCUCUCUUCUCUGAGUGCCUUCUGUUUGCUACCUUUUCCUUUCAUGUUAGAGCUUUCUCUCAAAUAUCUGGCAAUCUUGGUUGUCCAUUGAUAUCUGAUGCCCUGGGAAUUUGCAGGAAGCUGACAGGGAACUUCUGCCAGCAGACCCUGCUAUUGGGCUCCCUGGGCUUGUGUCUCAGUGUUCUGGUGGGCGGCUCCUGAUCAGCUUUCCCUGAUGCCUGUGAUCCAGUGUCCAGUCUCUUCAAGAGCCCAGAAACCAGUCAGGAGUUGUUCCUCCCUGGGAAGAGCCUGUGGGCGCCCGCGGUCCACUGUGGGAUGGUUCUCCACUCAAGUUCCAGACACCUGAGCAAGGACUUCCAGGUGGCACGGUGGGGUCACUGGCCUCCAGAGAAAUGACUGUGAAUGUGCAGAUGGACGAUGGCCGACCACAUGGGAAAAGAGCCCAAGCCUGCAACUGGCAGCUACCAAGUCCAGGACACCAACCCCCAUCUACACUAGCCUGCCAGAGGCCAGCCACAGUGAGACUGCUCCCUCCCUGACCAUCUGCAAAAGACAACUGUGGUGAUCAGCCCCAGAUGCCAGGACUUGGUUGAUAACUGACACUGGGCUAGUUUUUGUCUCUGCUUUUAACUUAAGACCUCCCAGCGAAAGCCAGGUGUAUAGUGGGAUAUCUGCUUUGAGUCAGGCUCCCCCAGCUCCCUGGAGCAGCUCCCUCCAUCAGGACAUGCCGGAGCCUUCCUUCCCUGUGUCCACUGAAAACCAUUCUCCUUCCCUGCCUGCCUUUGAAUCUCCGCAAACACAAGCCACAGUGGCUGGUUCCCUGUUGGAGCAAGCUUGGGGAUGGGUCACUCCAGGACCACUUCCCACUCUGCAGGAAGCUGGCCACGAUGCUGGUGCCAUGCUCUUGGAAUUUCAGGAUUAUGAACCCGAACAAACCUCUUUCCUUUAUAAGUUAGUCUCAGGUGUUCUGUUGUAGCAACAGAAACGGACAGAGGACAGUGCCAUUCUCAUCAAGGACAGAAUACGGAGGCCAAGGAAAAUCUGUACAAACCAACCUUAUUAAACUAACCCUAUCUUCAUGGA